Long non-coding RNA from Daphnia pulicaria, 751 nucleotides. RefSeq lists it as uncharacterized. NCBI's taxonomy places the organism in Eukaryota, Metazoa, Arthropoda, Branchiopoda, Diplostraca, Daphniidae. The record is from RefSeq and is a predicted model, not a curated record. The transcript has 2 exons.
GUUUGCGAUUCAAACAGUCCAUUGAGUCCAGCAAAGGUGUCGUCUGCAUUCUACAUCAUUACUGUCUGAUUUUCACACGAGGAUAAUAGUAAAAGUGAAAAUGCAUUGGAUACCUAUAGAAGAAAUCCCAAACAGUAUAUUGUAUAGUGAUACGCUCGAAGAGUAUGUCAUAGACGCAAGGGAUUCAAGAAACCCAAAAGAAAUAAAUGAAGUCAUCGAACGCCACAAGGCAGGUUGUCAUUUGCUGGAGGAGGAGGAUCGUAAACUCCAAAUGAUAGAAAACUCAGAAAUGAAUCUAACAGAUUAUACCGAAAGCAGCAGUGGCCGUUGGAUAGUGCAGCACAAUACCAAUCGGGGGCAUCACUGAAAACAUAAUGGAAUGUUAUAUUGUAAUACUCAAUGCAGUUCUAUGUGGAUUUUCAUUGUGUUGUAAUUUCAAUUUCCAUUGUGAUAUAAAUGUAAUGUGAGAGACAGCAUCAAAAAGAUUUACACACGUCUUUGUUUAUUUGAAACUUAAGAGUUGUAGGGGUUGCCGGUUGCGAUUGUACGGGUACUGCCUUUAUGGGUACAUAAUAAAAGUGAAGUAAAUACAGAUAGAAAUUUGUUAUUACGAGGCAGCACGAAAUCUGAAAGCAAACUUGACAAAUAAGAAAAUAUAGCACAAGUGGGUUGAUGUGUCCGCUCAGCUACUACAUUCCGUAACACAAAUAUAAGUAACAUUGCACUUGACAUAAAAUGUUAAAGCGAGAAA